Xenia sp. Carnegie-2017 is the source of this 429-nucleotide long non-coding RNA. RefSeq lists it as uncharacterized. The record is from RefSeq and is a predicted model, not a curated record. Lineage: Eukaryota; Metazoa; Cnidaria; Anthozoa; Malacalcyonacea; Xeniidae. The transcript is spliced from 2 exons.
AUACAUUUAAAGAGUACAGUUUAAAUUGUAUGACAGUCUUAAUGGUAAGGCCCAAAGGUCUUGACUUCUGUUUUUGCCAACAUAACAAUAACAUCACUUCAGAAAAGUUCAUAAAGUUGAAUACCAUCCCUCCAUUCACCAUUUUAUUUCACUUAGAAAAGCACAGUUCCCCCUCCGGCUACACAAGAGUCCAUCACAGACAUAAUGAAAUUCACACCCUCUAAAGCCCUUCCUUCCUGGUACAACUACAAAAAACUCACCUUUCCAUUUCCACAGCGAACCAACGUGCCCAUAAACGCAACAUUUUUUUUGCUCCGUAAGGCUACUCUGAGUUGAUAUAUUAUUGUAAUAACAUUUGAUAUUGUCCUUAUGUCUGCUCAUUUAAAUAGUGGUAUAGCAUUGUAUUAAAAAAUAACAUUUUCCUUUUUA